Molecule: ribosomal RNA, 253 nt
Filed under: uncultured bacterium
Lineage: Bacteria
Description: partial 16S ribosomal RNA
Rfam family: Bacterial small subunit ribosomal RNA
Source: RNAcentral
UACGUAGGGUGCAAGCGUUAAUCGGAAUUACUGGGCGUAAAGGGCCAGUAGGCGGCCAACUAAGUCACACGUGAAAUCCCCAGGCUUAACCUGGGAACUGCGUGUGAUACUGGAUGGCUUGAAUUCGGGAGAGGGAUGCAGAAUUCCAGGUGUAGCGGUGAAAUGCGUAGAUAUCUGGAGGAAUACCGGUGGCGAAGGCGGCAUCCUGGACCGACAUUGACGCUGAACGGCGAAAGCUAGGGGAGCAAACGGG